UACGUAGGUGACAAGCGUUGUCCGGAUUACUGGGCGUAAAGAGCGCGCAGGCGGUCGUUCAAGUCGAGUGUGAAAGCCCCCGGCUCAACUGGGGAGGGUCAUUCGAUACUGAUCGACUCGAAGGCAGGAGAGGGUAGUGGAAUUCCCGGUGUAGUGGUGAAAUGCGUAGAUAUCGGGAGGAACACCAGAGGCGAAGGCGGCAAGCUGGAUGGGCACUGACACUCAACUGCGAAAGCGUGGGGAGCAAACAGG
This 252-nucleotide ribosomal RNA is filed under the name uncultured bacterium. RNAcentral's name for it is "partial 16S ribosomal RNA". It matches the Rfam family "Bacterial small subunit ribosomal RNA", at positions 524 to 776 of the family's 1533-position model. The record is from RNAcentral.